AUUAAAAACAAAAACACAAACCCACCAGAGCAUUUGAAGGAAAAAAAAACAACCCUCAGGAUGAUUAAAUUUGCUAAACCACGUCAUGCUGAAGAAGCAGUCAUUUCCUUACAUUAAUUAUUUGUCUUCAAGGUUUUGUCAUAUUUCUUCACACUCUCAUUAUUGCCAAAGUUAGAGAUGAAGACAUUUAUUUUGGGGACUAGAUCUACAUAGAAUUACCCUGUUUUCUCCCUUUUUUUUUUUUUUUUAAUUUCAGGGCACAGUGUGAUUCCUGGCCCAUUAUUUACCCUUCAAACAUAGAACUUGCUGGGGAGGCUCACUUAAAAUUGAGUGUCAGUUUUCUUCCAUAACCCUUCCUAUGGCCAAGUUUCUGUCCUUUAGAGUACAGAUUUGAUCAUGUAAGUUUAUUAUAUAAUUUUCUGAUUCUUUAUUUUGAUGUUUUAUUUUAUUCGACCACUUUAUUUAUAUAAUGGUGUAUUGAUAAAUAUAGAAAGGUUUCCCUUUGCUUGACAAAACCAUCCUUUUGUUAUGAGGUAAAAGUUACAUUUCUUGUUGAUGUUUUAUAAAGUGUAGUAAUUUAUUUUUCUGCUUGAUUACAAGAUUAGGAAUCAAGAGCCAUCUAAUUUAUCUCAAUGAGUUUUCACCUGCAGUACUUAAAACCGUAGGGCAUCAUGGUUCUGUAAGAUUCCCACAUUUGUCAGUUUUCCUUGUCUGUCAGGAAGUGAUAUACUUUAUUGCUUUUAAAGCUGGGAAUCUAAGUAAGUUAUAAAAGAGAUACUAUAUUGAUUUCCUGUGAAGACAUAGUAGGCAUCAUUUCUACAUUUGAGAUUCAGUCCUUGUUCCCUGUCAUACCUUAUUAAAAGAGAUUUGCUUUUAAAUGUCACAAUGUUCUGUGGUCAUGGUUACAAAUUUGAUUUACCCCAUUUUAUCCUGGCAGGAAGGAAAACAAAUUUUUAAUUGAAACUAUGUAAGCUGGCUCAUAAAAAGAGAGAUUCAGUUAAGAUAUUUUUUAUAAGAUGUAAUCAUUUUUCUAAGUUGUUUCUAAACGAGGUCAAUCAAUAUGUUCAGUAUUUUUUCUUAGAAUUGUUUUUAAAAUAUUCUGGCAGCAAUUAUAAUCUAUAUUUGGAUCUUUCGUAGGAUAUUUUUUACCCUUGAAAUUGUGAGGGUAUUAGAAUGAGAUAUUAUUUAAAUUACUGUUUAUACAAAGUAUAUCUUAAAUUGAGAGUGGAAGGUAGACUAAGAAGAAAGUCCUUUUCUUAUUUGUCCAUUAAAAAUAAAAUAUUAAGGAGUUGCCAUUGUGGUUCAGUGGGCUAAGGACCCGAUGUCUUCUGAGGUUGCAGGUUUGAUUCCUGACCUGGCUCAGUGGGUUAAGUUGUCUGGUGCUGCUGCAAGCUUUGGUGCAGUAUAUGGAAGUUCCUGGGCUAGGGCUUGAAUCAGAGCUGCAGCUGAGGUCUAUGCCACAACCACAGCAACACCAGAUCCAAGCUGCCUUUAUGAUCUGUGCCUCAGCUUGUGACAAUACUGGAUUCUUAAUCCACUGAGUGAGGCCAGGGAUUGAACCUGCAUCCUCAUGGAGAUUACGUUGGGUUCUUAACCCAUUGAACCACAAUGGGAACUCUUGAAGCUAUUCUUAUUUUUUACUUUUUUUCCCCUCAAUGGAAACAUGCCCAAUCUGUUAUAAGUUUCCAAAUGUUCUGAAAUGUCUCUUUAAUUCCUCAGUAUGGAUCUAUCAUUGUUUGCCAGCAUUCACAUCAGACCUUUUCAGUUUGGCAACUUCUCAGUCCUGUAAAUCUUUCUUAAAUAAUUUCAUUGGUGCUAUCUUCUGCCAUUCUAUCAUUCCAAUGUGAAUUUUUGGAUAGAUACUCAGAUUUUCUUUUCUCUCCUAUUUACAACUUUGUCUUUUUGCUUGGGUAAAUUUCUUUAUUAUCAGGUCCUUCUAUUGAGUUUCAUUUUUUUCCCAUCAUGUUCUUAAUUUCAUUUUGUAUUCCUUGCUUGUAGUAUUCUAUUCUUGAUACAUGAAUGCAGCAUCUUUUAAUAUCUGUGUAUAUUAAUGUAUUUUUUAGGUUUUCUCUCUGUGUAGUCUUUUACUUUAUGUUUUAAUUUUUUUUCCCUGUCUCUGCUUUGUAUGUUAGAUUUUUCUUAGUUGUCUUUCUCUCCCUUGCCUGACUGUAUAAUGCGUUGUGGAAGAUUAAGAAGUUGAUUAGAGGAGUUCCCAUGUGGCUCAUUGGGUUAAGGAUCUGGUGUUGUCACUUUAGUGGCUUGGGUCACUGCUGAGGUAUGGGUUUGAUUCCUGGCCCGGGAACUUCUGCAUUCCAUGAGUGUGCCCCUUCUCCCCCCCAAAUAGUUGAUUAAAAUAUCUAAAUUUGUCAGUUUUGAACUUCAUUAAAGGUUUAACUGGGUGGGUUAUUUUUGGAGAGCUUCAAAAACCUUAAGGCCUUGUGUCUUGUGCUUGUUAAAUACCUUCAGAGAGUAGUUUUCCAUUUUCAUACAUGGAGAGUGAGGAUCUGAUUGUCAGCAUUUCUGGGAAAUGAAUGAAGGAAGAGGAGUGGGUUCUCUUCUUCAGUGAGAACUCAGUCUCUUUCUUUUUGGUAUACUAAUCUCAUUUUUUUACUGUGGAUAUUGUCUUCAGACUUCUGCUAGGAUUGUGGAGAGCAGGCAUUCAGUGGAAUGUGGUGAAGGCAUCUAGCAUAUAUUAUUGCUUCACAAACAGCUUUCACUAGUAUUCUCUUUUUUUAGUCAUACUGUCUUACUCUUUGUUCCCUUCACCCCAAUUUCCAAAGUGCUUAGUUCUAGUUUCUAUGUCCUUUGAAAUUGUUGCCAUGUAAAUCAAACUGGUUCUUAUCUCCAGUGCAAUUUGGAAUAUGGUGCUUUGGGAACUAAGUUAGUUGCCAGUGGUUCUGCUUAUUUUCCACCUCCCUAAAUCUUUGUAGCUAUUGUCCCUUUUACUUUUUCUUUGUUGUUGUUCUUGGGGACUUAAUGCCUUCAAAAAAAUACCUUUAAUGUGGUUUUAGUGGGAUUUGAGGGAGUAAAGUUAGAUGUUUUCAGUUUACCAUUUUAAUAACCGUCUAACAUUCCCUUUCUCUUUUAAUAUGUAUAAUGUUGGUAGUAACUUGUGUAAUUAAAGUGAAUUAAUUAAAUGAAUGAAAGCUUCUUCCUUUCUUGACUGAACAUGAGGCAUAUGGAAGUUUCUGGGCCAGAGAUUGAAUCCAAGCCACAUUUAUGACAAUGCAGAUCAUUUAAUGCACUGCACCAGGCUGGGAAUUCAACCCAUGCCUCCACAGCAACCCAAACAAUGCAUUUGGAUUCUUAACCCAUAGCACCACAGCAGGAACUCCCAAGUAUAUUUCUACACAUUGUAGUGAAGCAUUUUAUUUAGGUUCUAUGGAAUUUUCAAUAUUUUCCAUGUGCAAAGUUUUUUAAUAGCAUGGUAUAGAUGAUAUAUAAAAAGUGUAGAAGACCAGAGUUAAUUCUUUUUUUUGGCUAUGUGCAGGGAAUGUGAAAGUUCCUAAGCCAGGUAUUGAACCCACACUGCAUCAGUGGCCUGAGCUGCUGCAGUGAUAGUGCCAGAUCCUUAACUCACUAUACCACAAGGGAACUCCCAAAAUUAAUCCUCUUACGAUUCUUUUUCAUUACUACUUAUGUGACCCCUGGCAAAUGAGUACAUUCCCUGAUCAUAAAAAUUUGAGAUUAUAGCACUCUUAUUUUAUGUGGUCAUUGUAAGAGUGAAAUGAAAAAAUUAUAUAAAAGUUCUAGUUUUACUUAGGAAGAGCUAAACAUUGAGUAAUCAUGGAAAUGUUUACCUAACAAUAGAAAUGCCUUCCAAGAGUAUUUGCUUUUACAAAUAAACAAUGAUUAGGUUUAUUAACACUGACCCUAUCUAAAACAAAUUUUUUUAGUCUAUGACAUUAUAUAAUCAAGCUGUAUUCUUUCUUUGUAAUAUUAAAUUUUUUAAAGUAAAUUAUAUACUUCUGUAAUUUUUUGGAGACUUUUUUUUUCAGAGUUCAGCUAUUCUAAGCACACAUUACCUCCUGUGUAGUGCCUAUAAAAAUACUUUAAAAACUGAAAAAUGCUCUACAAAAAGUAUUUUUUUUUCCAUGUUGGGUUUUGAAGUGCAGAACUUUUUAGGUCAAGACUAAAAACUUAGCUGAUUUAUUCUUCCUAGAAAUUAAGAGUUGGGAUUCUAAAAAUGAAGGUUCUGAAAGAUGUAGAAUUUUCUGAGGUUUUUGUAGUAUAAAUGAAAAUACUGGGAAUUUAAUUUCAACCAACCAUCUAUUAAGCAAAUAAAUACUGUGUUUCACAUUGUGGAAGUGAGCGGAAAAUGAAUUAAGAUGUGAUUUCUGCCUUUUAACAACUCAUAUAUAAAUAAUGAAAUGUGCUAAGUCUAAUGAUAAUAUGUAUGAAAGAUCUUGAGAGAGCUAUGUCACCUGGUUUUGGGGAUGGGCGUAGUAAGGAGAAAGGAGAGCAAGGAAAGGAUUGUUGGUAGUAAGAUAAUUUAGGUUGAAUCAUGAAUAGGAUUUAGGGUGAACUAGGAUAGUUUCUUUGGGAUAGUGGAACGUUGGCAAUGGCACCAGUUAUCUGAAUAACACCCUAACCGUUGUUCUUUCCUAAAUUGUUUCCACAAUGUGCAGAAACAGAAUCAAUGUGGGAAAAGUUGGACAAAGCUCCAGUGGGCUUGGACUAAGUGCUCUUAGCACUUGCCUGACGUUAUUUAAUCUCUGAGCAUAUUUUCUUAGUCAUGAAUUGGAGAUAAAACCUAUCUUGUAGGGUUAGUGUGAGAAUUAGUUUAAAUAAUGUAUGUAAAAUUUAUCUGAAGGCUUGAUUUAUAUUAAUGUACUUCCCUACUCUUCUAAAGAUGUGAAGUAGACAAUCAGUAUAUUUAUUGACUUAUGUUCCUUGGGAUAGUAGAAUGUAGUAAAUUGGUAGUAAAAUGAUUGUAGUGGCUGGAGGAGGACUGAUAUAAGGAGGAACCUUAGGAUUAUGUCUCUUAUUUUGAAAUCUAAAUUGGGUGAAAAGUCAGUCUUUUAGCCAGUAACCAGCAGCUUAGCUUGCCUAGGAAAGCUUAAACUUUGAAAAGUGUUUAGUAUUUAUAUUGGAAAGGUAUCUGGCAAAACAGGGGAGGAGGCCUAGGAGUCGGGGGAGGAGGCCUAGGAGUCGCGGGAGCAGGGUACAUCUGAAGGUAUGUCACAUAAUUUAAUUCUUUGUGCAACAGGCUUCCAAAAGAAUCUGCUCCUUGAAUAUUGGAAACUAUUCAUCAAGCAGUUCUAAAUGUUUUGGGUAUUUGUCCUCCCAUUAACCUUAGCCACAUUCUAGUACUACAGCAAUGUCUAUCCCGUUCAGAUCUUUCCCAAUUUACCAACCUCUUGCUUUUAACAAAUAGGUUUGAGCCAUCCUCAGAGAAUCUUAUAUAUUUUUGAAGAAUUAAUGUGGCUUAGAUCAAAUAUAACCUUUGUUCCCUAAUACAGUAUUUAGGGCAGUUUUUACAUAUGUUAUCUGGUUUAUUUUGUGGAGAAUAAAUAACGACCUUUUAAAUGCUAAGUAUUUUGUUUUAACUUUUAUCAUGGAAAAUUUCACAUAUAUACAAGAAUAGAAUGAAACAAUGAGCUCAUAUGCCCAUCACUCAGAUUGAACAGUCAUUAAUUUAUGGGGCCAGUUUCCUUUUUGCUUUCCCUCUACUACGCCCUUACACCCUUAGCAAGUUUUAAUGAAUACCUACAUCUAGUGGUGGGUGAAGGCAAGAUAGCACAGGGUGCUAAAUUUCAGGAAGGUAAAUCAAGUGAGAAGGAAAAAGGUGGUUUUCCUAGCUGAUGUGGCUGUCAAGCAAAUAGAUUCUUAUUGUGCUUUUGUCCUUCUCUUGAUGGUUGGUUACUGCUAAAACAAAUUUGCCUUGUUAAUAUACCCACUUUCAGAUGGAAUUUUAUAUUUUUGUUCUUCCUAUUUGUUUUUUCCCCCAGGAGUGUAAAAAUUCUUUAUUUUUAUUUGAUUUUCACCCAUGUCAAAAUGUUGGGAGGUCUGUGCCAGGGCAUGAAAUUUAAUUUGCCCUGGGACCAAACACUCACCUGGAGACGUCUUUGUGACCAUCUGGAUUACAGAAGAAAAUAAAUUGUUUUUAUCUUUAUGGCAGAUUACUCAAAAUCAGCUUUGUUGCCAUCAUAGAUUUAAUGUCUCAAAUCCUCCCCAGCAAUUAUUUAAAAUUAUUCUCAAGAUUCAAAAAUUUGAUUGCAAGCUUUAACCGUUCUGCUAGAUUUGAGCAUUUUGGGGUUUAGAUUCUGUGUGAAAAUCUUUAAUUAGCCUUCUAUAAAUGGAAAUUGACAAUCAGGAUUUAAACAUCUUAAUUUUCUAGAAAUUAUAAAAAUUGUCACUUUUUUCAUGUAAAAAGUACUAUAAAAGAUUUUUUUAAAAAAGGGCCUUGAGCAGAGUUUGACUUUUUUUUUUCUGGACUGAAAUGGAGGCUUGCUUUCAAGCUAAUUCCCUGAUGUUUGCUAUGUGUGAUUUGGCUCUAUCUCUGUAACUACUAAUAUGUGGCAUGGAUUUCAAGCUGUCUGGGAUCAGGAUGUGCCCAAACUCUGUAUUGCAAGUCGGGAUUCAAAGGCAUUAUGUUACAAAACUGGCUUGCUGCCGUCUCUGUUUCUGUGUUCUGAGUAGCUGCAUUGUUUGUUGCAGUAUAUGCAUUAGCUCUUGUCUGUGUUCAGUUUCCUGCAGGCUGACAAAGUGGGAGGGGCUUCGUUUGAUACAUAGCUGAGUUUUGACUGUGUGAGUUCUUGAGUGCACAUUGCAGCCAUCUUAAUUACACUUUAGUGCAACUGAGACAGUGCAGCUGUCUCAAAAUGGCUGCUAAUCUAGUCUUUGUAGCUGCUUAGGCAGCCACUAUGCCACUGAGGAGACUUGUCACAUGCAUCAAGACCAGAGGUAAGAACCAAUUACUCUUUAUCUCUGAACAUUUUAAUUAAGAACAUUUGAAUUUUACCAAGUCUAUGUAGGAAGGUGAACUUAAUGCUUGCUAUGAAGUUGAAAUGUUUGCUGAUAGAAUCAUUAAGCCUCUGUUAUGGAAACAGUACAUUAAGAUGGUGAGGUCAAAGGUUAAAUUCCUAUAAUUUCUCACCAUCCUAUGUUCUGUCAUUGCCAGAACAUUUGAUCACCACAGUGUGCUUUUUUUGGUCCAGAUUAACUUAACGUUACUUUUAUGUUGGAUAUUUUAGUUUGCUUGAUGCUUAUUUGUAGAAUUAAAAACAAUAUAAUUAUCUCAAUAGAUUUUUUUAAAGGAAACUAUAAAUAAGCAUUGUUUUGCAUGAAGAUUGCAGUUUUUCUCUGUGUGUGUGUGUUUUGAAGGUAUUGUUUGGUAGAUUUCUGGGGAGAAUGUUAAAUCAUAGAAAGAAAAAAAUGUAUUUUUUAACGCUGUUAGAGGUUUUUGGUACUGUGGGUUCCACUUCUUUCUCAUUAUGCUGCCUCUUCCCAGCCAUCCAGUUCUUUCAUAUUUUUGAUGGGGCUGACUUUUUAUCCUAAUAAUUUUUUGCUUAAAUUGGCAUUCAGAUUCAGAUUUUGAAUUUAGAAAUAGUUCACAUCUUCCAGGUCUGGAUACACCUCUUCUUUAUAUCUAAGGUAUUCUAAUGCAAGAGGGCUGAAGUAAAUCUUAAUUUUUGAGUUAAUUAAGUGAUAAUUGAUGAUGUUCACUUCAUCUUAGUUAAAAUCUGAGGUAUAUUUAAAAGUAAUGACUCAGUAAUUUUAUAAAUUUAGUUUGAAAAAUUUUCAAAAAGCUUUCUUAACGUCAUUCUGAAGUUGAAACAUUUAUUGAGAUAUUGUAAAGUCCAUCGUGAUCCCAAAAGAUAAGGGAAUGAAAAUUUUAUUCACAUCUUUUAGAUAGCAGAACAGUUGGUUAUACUUAAAGCACUGAAGUUUAAAUCGCAUGCAGGACUUACUGAAAUUUUUUCUACAUGGUAUAGUGCAUUUCUCUGGCUUUGUCAAUAGAGUGCUGUGAAUAUAUCCCUGACUAAUAUGACAUAGAACAGUAAGUUUUGAACUUUCUAACUAUGGCAACUUUUUAAAAAAUAGCAACUUUUUGCACCUUAAAUUCUUUUGAAGGACCCUGGCAUAUAAAGGUGUAUGUAUGCUAUUUUAUUAUUGUUCACUUGUUUUAUAAUGUAAAUGGAUAACACUUAAUUAUACAUUUAUUUAAUAAAAUGAGAACAAUUAGGCUGUUUCAAUGAAAACAAAAGUUUGAAACAAGAUUGUGUAUGACAAUUAUGAUCUUAUUAUUAGUGUCAGGAUCUAGGUCACUUAUUUGUAGAAGUCCAGUGCUAAGGUACUGGAAUUUAGUUUGAAAAGUAUUCUAUUAGCACUAAGAACUAUGUCUAGAUACUUACAACGCAGCACGACAAUGGGAGAAAAAAUUAUGUAUACAUGUAUGUGCAACUGGGUCUCCAUGCUGUACAGUGGGGGGGAAAAAAAAAGAAUAUAUAGAAAUAAAAAAAA
Molecule: long non-coding RNA, 8466 nt
Filed under: Sus scrofa (pig)
Lineage: Eukaryota; Metazoa; Chordata; Mammalia; Artiodactyla; Suidae
Description: lncRNA (ENSSSCG00015062524.1)
Source: RNAcentral